RNAcentral lists this ribosomal RNA (508 nucleotides) under uncultured bacterium. RNAcentral's name for it is "partial 16S ribosomal RNA". It matches the Rfam family "Bacterial small subunit ribosomal RNA", at positions 30 to 523 of the family's 1533-position model. The record is from RNAcentral.
AUUGAACGCUGGCGGCAUGCCUUACACAUGCAAGUCGAACGGCAGCGGGGGAGAAGCUUGCUUUUCCUGCCGGCGAGUGGCGAACGGGUGAGUAAUACAUCGGAACGUGCCCUGUAGUGGGGGAUAACUAGUCGAAAGAUUAGCUAAUACCGCAUACGACCUGAGGGUGAAAGUGGGGGACCGCAAGGCCUCAUGCUAUAGGAGCGGCCGAUGUCUGAUUAGCUAGUUGGUGGGGUAAAGGCCUACCAAGGCGAAGAUCAGUAGCUGGGCUGAGAGGCCGAUCAGCCACACUGGGACUGAGACACGGCCCAGACUCCUACGGGAGGCAGCAGUGGGGAAUUUUGGACAAUGGGCGAAAGCCUGAUCCAGCAAUGCCGCGUGUGUGAAGAAGGCCUUCGGGUUGUAAAGCACUUUUGUCCGGAAAGAAAUGGCUCUGGUUAAUACCUGGGGUCGAUGACGGUACCGGAAGAAUAAGGACCGGCUAACUACGUGCCAGCAGCCGCAGUAA